GCCAUCUGUCGCCUUGAGUCGUUGCUCUUAUCGCCGCAGAAAUUUUCCAGAUUGCCUGGUAUAAUUGUUCAGCACAUACCGAGAAUUGACCAAUCAUUCGAAGAAUUAAAAUCGCGAGUUUCCUUUCUUUGUUUGCAAGGGAAGAAGUAAAUUGCAACAGUAACGAGAGCAAAAAGGAUCCAAAGAUUAGCGCGUCAGCACUGGUGUCACUUUGCAAAACUUGUGACGUGGAGAUUAAGAAUAAAAAAGGCAGUUCCAGAAAAAUAGUGAGUUUUUUUACCUUCCUCUGGGCCUCGGCGGCGAAUCCAGACUUGGCUGCUCUGUUGUUGGCCAUGGUGAUUUGUGUGUUGUGCAAAUUGCUGCGGUGUCUUCGGUCGCAAGUUCGCUGCAGACUAACUGCUGAAGCAAAAGCCGGCGGGCACCUCAGGUUGGCCUCUUCUCUCCUGCCCUGCGCCCGUCGUCGUGCUGAUAAAUCCCCCUCCUCUCCGAAACCGCGAACGCACGGCGACGACUAACGACUCCUCGGCUGCAUUAUUUCUUUACAAGCGCCGUCCUUUUUUAUACACGGCAUAAUACGCCUUGUAUGGAGAACAAUCUGACUAAACUCAUUAUAAUCGCGAGAAUUUUAAACGGGUGACUCUGUUGAACAUCGUGGUCUUCUGCGGUCAGUGUGGUUGAUAUUUUAAUUGCGUGUGUUUUCUUUUUUUCACCAAAGUUGUGGUGUUUUGUUUACAUAUAUGUUGAAUUAAGAUUUUUCAUCGCUUUCUAAAAAUUUAAUCCAACUCGUAUUUUUGGAAGUGUGACGUUAACACUUGACAACACCAUAUUAAGUAAAAAAACAAUAGCUCCUUCCUAAUAAUGAGAAGCACACAGAAAUUAUUUUAUAAUCAUCCUUAGAUAAAGUAACAUAGUCUCAAAAUUAAUGUUUAGUAUUUAAUAAACAAGAAUCUAUAAUAUUAUAAAUUUUUUAAUUUAAUGGUUUAUAUAUAAAAUUAAAUCAGUAUAGGUAAAUUAUUAAUUUUUAUUACAAAUAAAUAAGUUUCUGUAUAGGUUCUUGAAGUUGUUUUUGUGGAACCUUUUGGCACUUGAGGUGGUCA
Long non-coding RNA from Neocloeon triangulifer, 1097 nucleotides. RefSeq lists it as uncharacterized. The transcript has 3 exons. The record is from RefSeq and is a predicted model, not a curated record. NCBI's taxonomy places the organism in Eukaryota, Metazoa, Arthropoda, Insecta, Ephemeroptera, Baetidae.